This 315-nucleotide unclassified non-coding RNA is filed under the name uncultured fungus. Its description in RNAcentral is "partial contains small subunit ribosomal RNA, internal transcribed spacer 1, and 5.8S ribosomal RNA". The stretch from base 1 to 73 matches the Rfam family "Eukaryotic small subunit ribosomal RNA", at positions 1759 to 1831 of the family's 1831-position model. The record is from RNAcentral. Lineage: Eukaryota; Fungi.
UCAAACUUGGUCAUUUAGAGGAAGUACAAGUCGUAACAAGGUUUCCGUAGGUGAACCUGCGGAAGGAUCAUUACAGUAUUCUUUUGCCAGCGCUUAAUUGCGCGGCGAAAAACCUUACACACUAUGUUUUUUUGAUUUGAAACUUUUGCUUUGGUCUGACUUAGAAAUGAGUUGGGCCAAAGGUUUUAUACUAAAACUUCAAUUUUAUUAUUGAAUUGUUAAUUAAUUAUAUUGUCAAUUUGUUGAUUAAAUUCAAAAAUCUUCAAAACUUUCAACAACGGAUCUCUUGGUUCUCGCAUCGAUGAAGAACGCAGC